AAAAAUGAAUAGAUAAAAGGUUCUUAAAUUUAUUUAAGAUUAAAAGGGAAAAUGGUUAAACUCCAUUACAGCCCCCGCUACUGUAAUUGCAGACGAAACUCUAAAUACCACUGAGAAAUUUUCUUGGGAAGGUAGAGGAUUAGGAUGAAGCAUAAGUCAGGAGACCUGCCUUUUAUAAAACCAUGCU
RNAcentral lists this non-coding RNA (187 nucleotides) under Clostridium colicanis 209318. Lineage: Bacteria; Bacillati; Bacillota; Clostridia; Eubacteriales; Clostridiaceae. The record is from RNAcentral.